Molecule: long non-coding RNA, 1914 nt
Organism: Astatotilapia calliptera (eastern happy)
Lineage: Eukaryota; Metazoa; Chordata; Actinopteri; Cichliformes; Cichlidae
Source: Ensembl
GGAAAGGCUAAUCCACAAAAACGGAGAAACGUCCAUAAUUCCAUUAUUCAUAAUCAUGUCAAGGUUUUAGGUUUUUCUGCAGUUCCAUCUCUAAAAAGUGUGAUGUCUUCCCGUCACUGAUUUCAGUUUGAAAACUUUGUAUUUAUUCACAGAUUUCUGUGAGAUCAUCCUAAAAUUUGUAACGAAAAAUGGGCUCAAAAGAGCCCUCUGCCUAACGGCAUGUAGCCUAUAGCAUAACGUGAUAUUUUCAGUAGUGUAUGCAAAAAGGUCGGAAUUGAUGGAGAGUAGGGUUGCCUAAAUGGUUUAGGUUACAUUUUAAAUGUGUCGUUUUUUUGUUUAUACAUAUGGAUGGAUGGAGGGGGCAAGCUGGCAAAGUUUGUCAUGUGCAGUUUCUGACAGGCUACUUCACAACAAAACAAUUGCAGGUUGGUCUUAGAGGGCAAACAGAAUAAUUUCACUCGAUUCAUGGGUUACCUGACUGGUUGGGAAGGGAAAGAGCUGCCGUGUUGUCCGCCGUGGUUCCCAGUCGCUAUAGUUAGCCUACUAUGCCUACUCCAAGUAGUCCUAUGUCAUGCCGCUGCUACACGCCUCACAACAAAUGAACUGCAAGCGUGUUCACGUGACACGGUGACAGUGAAAAAGCGACAGGGUUCGGGUGUCUUUGAAGAAGGGGCACAAAUCAAGCCAUUAUUUUCACACCUUUUUAAAUCGCGCAGCUUUAAAAAAAUAAUAAUAAUCACGUCUUUCAAAAGGGCACUUUUUUGGACUGAAGGCAAAAGGGCAAGUGCUUCAGCACCACCUCGUCUCUAUCUGUGCAUGCCAGUGGCAGUGUGUCCCUCAGUCUGUCCUCACUCUGGACACUUUUUUGUUUUUGCAAGUGUUUUUGUUUUUGCAGGUGUUUUUCUUUGGCAGGUGUUUUUGUUUUUGCAGCAAUUUUCUUUUUGCAGGUUUUUUUCUUUUGCAGGUGUUUUUGUUUUUGCAGCAUUUUUCUUUUUGCAGGUGUUUUUGUUUUUGCAAGUGUUUUUCUUUUUGCAGGUGUUUUUCUUUUGCAGGUGUUUUUGUUUUUGCAGCAUUUUUCUUUUUGCAAGUGUUUUUGUUUUUGCAGGUGUUUUUCUUUUGCAGGUAUUUUUGUUUUUGCAGCAAUUUUCUUUUUGCAGGUGUUUUUCUUUUUGCAGGUGUUUUUCUUUUGCAGGUGUUUUUGUUUUUGCAGCAUUUUUGUUUUUGCAGGUGUUUUUCUUUUGCAGGUGUUUUUGUUUUUGCAGCAUUUUUGUUUUUGCAGGUGUUUUUCUUUUGCAGGUGUUUUUGUUUUUGCAGCAUUUUUCUUUUGCAGGGGUUUUUCUUUUUGCAAGUGUUUUUCUUUUGCAGGUGUUUUUCUUUUUGCAGGUGUUUUUCUUUUGCAGGUGUUGUUCUUUUUGCAGGUGUUUUUCUUUUGCAGGUGUUUUUGUUUUUGCAGCAUUUUUCUUUUUGCAAGUGUUUUCUGAAGUUGCAGUCCGUUUGGCCUCUCAGUGCCACCGUAACAGGUGGAAUCAGGACCACAUUAAGACCUAAUCACCUUCUCUCUCUGUCACACACACACACACACACACACACACACACACACACACACACACAUUUGCUGUAACACAAAAAGAGAGAGAGUAUUUAAAUGUAAAGUCUGAACAUUAGUCACUCUGUCUUCGGUGUGUGUUAGGAGGGUAAAAGUCCAGCUGGCUUAUUUUCCUACCUGGACUCCAUGGUAACGUUGUCAUAAAAGCACGUCAAUAAUUAAUAUGGACUUUUGCGUGUGCGUGCUUUCAAAGUUUUCCUCACACACACACUCUCUCUCUCUCUGUUAUUACAGUCUGUGUGUGUGUGUGUGUGUGUGUGUGUGUGUGUGUGUGUGUGUGUGUGUGUGUGUGUGUGUGUCUGUUCCUG